Molecule: ribosomal RNA, 497 nt
Filed under: uncultured bacterium
Lineage: Bacteria
Description: partial 16S ribosomal RNA
Rfam family: Bacterial small subunit ribosomal RNA
Source: RNAcentral
GAUGAACGCUGGCGGCGUGCCUAAUACAUGCAAGUCGAGCGAACAGACGAGGCUCUUGCUCCUCUGACGUUAGCGGCGGGGGGGUGAGUAACACGUGGAUAACCUACCUAUCAGACUGGGAUAACUUCGGGAAACCGGAGCUAAUACCGGAUAAUAUAUUGAACCGCGUUGGUCAUUAGUGAAAGUCGGUUUUUGUGGCUCUUAUAGAUGGUUCUCAGCCGCAUUGGCUAGUCGGGAAGGUAAAGGCUUUCCAAGGGAACGAUGCGUAUGCGACGGGAGAGGGUGGUCGGCCGCCCUGGAACGUGGACGCGCACCAGAGGACUACGGGAGGGAGCAGUAGGGAAUCUGCGGCAGUGGGGGAAAGCCUUACGGAGCAAGGCCGCGUGAGUGAUGAAGGUCUUCGGAUCGUAAAACUCUGUUAUUAGGUAAGAACAAAUGUGUAAGUAACUAUGCACGGCUUGACGGUACCUAAUAAGAAAGCCACGGCUAACUACGUG